This 253-nucleotide ribosomal RNA is filed under the name uncultured bacterium. RNAcentral describes it as "partial 16S ribosomal RNA". It matches the Rfam family "Bacterial small subunit ribosomal RNA", at positions 524 to 776 of the family's 1533-position model. The record is from RNAcentral.
UACGUAGGGGGCGAGCGUUGUCCGGAUUUAUUGGGCGUAAAGAGCGUGUAGGCGGUUCGGUAAGUCUGUCGUGAAAUCCUGAGGCUCAACCUCGGGCGUGCGAUGGAUACUGCCGGGCUAGAGGAUGGUAGAGGCGAGUGGAAUUCCCGGUGUAGCGGUGAAAUGCGCAGAUAUCGGGAGGAACACCAGUGGCGAAGGCGGCUCGCUGGGCCAUUCCUGACGCUGAGACGCGAAAGCGUGGGGAGCGAACAGG